GCGAGUAUGGCGGAAUAGGCAGACGCAACAGACUUAAAAUCUGUCGGUUUUAACGACCGUAUCGGUUCAACUCCGAUUACUCGCACCA
Molecule: transfer RNA, 88 nt
Filed under: Clostridia bacterium
Lineage: Bacteria; Bacillati; Bacillota; Clostridia
Description: tRNA-Leu
Rfam family: tRNA
About the family: Transfer RNA (tRNA) molecules are approximately 80 nucleotides in length.
Source: RNAcentral